This 465-nucleotide ribosomal RNA is filed under the name uncultured bacterium. RNAcentral's name for it is "partial 16S ribosomal RNA". It matches the Rfam family "Bacterial small subunit ribosomal RNA", at positions 28 to 507 of the family's 1533-position model. The record is from RNAcentral.
GACGAACGUUGGCGGCGUGCUUAACACAUGCAAGUCGAACGGAAAGGCCCCUUUGGGGGUACUCGAGUGGCGAACGGGUGAGUAACACGUGAGUAACCUGCCCUUGACUUCGGGAUAACUUCAGGAAACUGGGGCUAAUACCGGAUAGGAAUCCUUGCUGCAUGGUGGGGGUUGGAAAGCUUCGGCGGUUUUGGAUGGACUCGCGGCUUAUCAGCUUGUUGGUGGGGUAGUGGCUUACCAAGGCUUUGACGGGUAGCCGGCCUGAGAGGGCGACCGGCCACAUUGGGACUGAGAUACGGCCCAGACUCCUACGGGAGGCAGCAGUGGGGAAUAUUGCACAAUGGGCGGAAGCCUGAUGCAGCAACGCCGCGUGCGGGAUGACGGCCUUCGGGUUGUAAACCGCUUUCAGCAGGGGCGAAGCUUGUGGUGACGGUACCUGCAGAAGAAGCACCGGCUAACUACGUG